AGAUGGUUUCCAGAGUUAGUUCCUUACAAGCAUUUCCUCUUGAAACAUCGGGAAUCUAAAUAAAGGUAAAUAAAUUCCAUUUACCAACCCCCAAAGGUAAAUUAAUUCAAGCAAGAAAGACUUUGGUUGCUCACAAGGCUGGAUGAAAACGUGUUUGGUGUAAACUUCAUUCAAAGAAAACUGAGCUAGCUAAGAAGGAGCUGUGAUAGCCUCUCUUAACUUUGGGAUUAUGGGGUGGUAAACAGGCUGUCAUGAAAAUGUCUAGAAUCAGCUAGAUGGUAGGAUUUGUGCUCUGAGAGGAUGGGGCA
RNAcentral lists this long non-coding RNA (308 nucleotides) under Homo sapiens (human). Its description in RNAcentral is "non-protein coding lnc-ASB4-3:10". The record is from RNAcentral. Lineage: Eukaryota; Metazoa; Chordata; Mammalia; Primates; Hominidae.